GCCGGGGUGGCGGAAUGGUAGACGCGCGCGACUCAAAAUCGCGUACCGCAAGGUGUGGAGGUCCGAGUCCUCUCCCCGGCA
Molecule: transfer RNA, 81 nt
Filed under: bacterium
Lineage: Bacteria
Description: tRNA-Leu
Rfam family: tRNA
About the family: Transfer RNA (tRNA) molecules are approximately 80 nucleotides in length. Their secondary structure includes four short double-helical elements and three loops (D, anti-codon, and T loops).
Source: RNAcentral